Molecule: RNA transcript, 3175 nt
Organism: Oenanthe melanoleuca
Lineage: Eukaryota; Metazoa; Chordata; Aves; Passeriformes; Muscicapidae
Gene: S100PBP
Gene name: S100P binding protein
Exons: 6
Source: RefSeq, a predicted model, not a curated record
GUGGGGGCGUGGCCUUGGCGCCGUUAAGAUGGCGGCGGGUUGGAGCUGACUCCUGCUGGUUCCCCCUCUGCAAGGGCUGACCAAAGGCCACCAGCAGCACCUCUAGAGCUGGAAGCAGAGCUGCAGGAAGCCAUGGGAGACAGUUGCCCUCCUUCCCCUGGGCUCAGUCAGGGAUUCAGGCAGGAGCCAGUCCCCAGGAGCAAGCGGCUGUCGGAUUCUGCGGUGCAGGUGCAGGCCCUGCAGUCAGCUAAGAAAGCCUGCGUGCUGAGCCGUGGCUGCAGCACUCCAGAUCCAGCAGGGAAUCUUCUGCUCCCUUCCCCAGGCUCUGGCUGCUCCCUUUUUCAGGAUGAGAGUGGCCAGGAUGAGCUCGGUGCCAGUUUCUCUGUCUCCAAGUACGACGACGUGGCCAUUUCCCUGGACAUCAGCAGGUGUUUCGACGACAGCGAGCUGGAUGAUUCCCUGCUGGAGCUGUCAGGCAGCGAGAAAGGGAAUUCUCCCUUUGAUUACACCGAGGAAGAGAUCCAGGAAAUGCUGGCAGAUGAUUCCAUGGAAGCUGAGCAGCAGCAGCACCUCGCUGGUAAAAGCCAAAGUGGGAGCGGGGAGAGCGACAAGGCUGAGAGCACCGUGGGGACAUCGGUCAGUGAGGUCACAGAGGAGCCAAAGGAACCUCAGGGGCAUUCCUCAGGCAGCUCUGGCUGUGAUCCUGCCUUUCUGACUGCUCUGGAUGGGGCCCAGCUGCAGCAGGAGCUGGACCUUGACCUGCAGGAGCUGCUGAGCCUGAGCCCAUUCGCUGCCGCCUGCUCUGAUGAGGCUCUGGAAGAAAAUAACCUGGAAAGAGAAACUUUGGAUGCAAUGAUAGAUGAUUGCUUGGGAUAUUCCUCUGCUGCUGGGAGGUGCAUUCCUGAGAAAUCCUCAGAAGGGGUGAUGCCUAAAGGCCAGGAAAGCCUGGCUCAGGAUUGCCCAGGAAGUUCUGUGCCCUCAUCUGACCUUCCCUGUGGCCAGAGCACAGGGGAUGAGAGUCCAGCAUCUGUGUUGCCACCAAAAAAAGAACUUCCCAAAGCAGCAACGAGCUGUUUCUCAAGGAAAUCAGGCUCUCCAGAGGAUGCUGAAGGGGAACCCACAGGAGCUGAGCAGCCACCAGGCAGCACUAAAUUAAGUGACACAACUGUAGGCCAGACUGGGCAGGAAGAGCCACUCAGAGGGAAAAAAAGUGGCAAAUUAAUUCUUAUCCCACAGAAGGAGGAAGAAAGGUUGAAACAACGGAUCUGCAUUUCAGAAGCACAGCCUGAGCAAAAGAAACGUUUCUCUCCAGGCUGUGCCAAUCCAAGUGAGGAAAAGUGUGGCUAUUACCUCAGAGGUGGUGACCUCUCCUUCUUGGUGAUGGAAGAAUAUGUUCAGGCAAAGGAUCCUGGAGACACUUUUGGGGUUGGCCUGGCUGGAACCGGCACACCUGCAGGAGAACUUCCCAGUGCCUUUUUCCCAAACUUUUGGGAAAAGCUGGUGACAGGGGAAGAGGAGAGAUGGCAGCUUCUCACUGCCAGGCUGUUCCUUUGCAGGAAUUCCCAACCCAGGCUCCUCCAAACCUUCCUCAGGCCAGCCUCUGUUGGCAUUUGCUGGAUCAAAGUCGGAUCCUGCCUCAUCCCCUAAGUGCAUAUGGAGUGAUCUUGUGGAGGAAUUAAACAACUACAGAUACCCCAUGGCACACUACAAAAAGUAAAUCUUUUUCAUGUCAUGGUCCUGCAUCUCCCAGCUUUCCAGAGCACCAGCAAUCCCCAGGGAUCCUGUCAGCUUCCAAACUUCCUAAGAGAGAGGAGAAGCCCAGCCCUUUCCCCAUCCAUCCUCAUCCCUUUUUGGGAAGGGCUGUCUCCAGCAGACUCCUGCCAUUCCAAAGGCAGAAUGUGUAAGAACCAGCCCUUCCCACAUAGCAACUUUACUAAAAGAAGCAUUUUAAGAACUUAAGCCCUCAGAAAAAGGCCCCUCAGGCCAGAGCCUUCCACAAUAAACAGCUCCUGCCCCCGGAGACCUUGCAUAGCAACCGGUAUCAUCAGGUAUUUUGUUUUUUCCUUUGUUUUUUUGUUGGUUUUUUUUUUUUGCUGACUGGCUACAUUUUUAUGGACCUUUUAUCCCAUGGUGGUGGAGUCAGGCCCAGCUGAAAAUACCACAAGGAAAAUGGUUGAAACUAUCCUGGAAGCUAAAUAACAGCUUCUGGUGUCCCCUCCUGUUGGUCUGUGCCUCAGUGUUCCCCGACUUUUCUGAGGUGAAGAGCACCAGUGUGAGAGAGGAGAGACAGCAGCAGUGGAGAAUGUGCUGCAGCCUGGCUGGAGAACAACCAGGGAAAUUCUCCUGCUGGAAUGGAAACUGGGGGAUACCUUUUUUAUGUGUGUGUGUGUUUGACAAACCCACCUGCAAGACGUGUUACACGACACACAUCGAUGAACGAAGCGAGGCCCGAGCGCUCAGCAGCCAAAAUCUGGCGUUUGCCAUGAGCUUCCCUCCAUUCCUGCUCAGAGAGGGACGUGCCUGGGAAUACUGCCAGGAUGGAGUGACAGUGAGACCAGAGAAAGACACAACAGAACCUUGUGCAUUCCCAAAAAACAGGAAAACUCCCAGAAGAUGGAGUGUGAGGGCGGAAAGGAGCGUGGGAGACAUUGCUCCAACCCAGGAUUUCCCUUCCUGGCCAGAUGUUUUGCAGAACAUGGAUGAGGAGGUGGAUGCCAGCGAGUGACAAUCACGAGAUCUUGUUUUGCAAAUCGCUCCGACAAUGUUUCACCUCCCCAGUCAUCAGGGCUCAGAGGCAGAGUGAGAGUGAGGGAUGGAGUCCAUCUCUCAGGUGUCAGCCUGUCAUGCUUCAAUGAUGUUCACUGAGGGCUUGUUUUUUGGAAACUAGGAGAGAAAACAAAGGAAAAACGGAUGUAUGGAAUGGAAAAAUGACAUCAGAGCUCAGCGCAGUCUGCAGGUCGUGUUUUGUGAAUAUUCUCAUUCCCACCUCUUCAUUAUGAUGAAAAAGAGUCAGAGUUGAGGUUUUGGGCUUGUGGGGGUCAUCACUGCUUCUGAACCAUCAUAAAUCAGUCAACUAUUUAAAACACUAAAUAAAUGCGGUGGAGAUGUAAAAAGAAACACGAAGAAGUUAAAUUAACUGAAAUAAGUUUGGAUAAAUUAAAGGCUUAACCUAUUU